UGGGGAAUAUUGGACAAUGGGCGAAAGCCUGAUCCAGCAACGCCGCGUGAGGGAUGACGGCCUUCGGGUUGUAAACCUCUUUCAGCAGGGACGAAGCGAAAGUGACGGUACCUGCAGAAGAAGGACCGGCCAACUACGUGCCAGCAGCCGCGGUAAUACGUAGGGUCCGAGCGUUGUCCGGAAUUAUUGGGCGUAAAGGGCUCGUAGGCGGUCUGUCGCGUCGGGAGUGAAAACUCAGGGCUCAACCCUGAGCGUGCUUCCGAUACGGGCAGACUAGAGGUAUGCAGGGGAGAACGGAAUUCCUGGUGUAGCGGUGGAAUGCGCAGAUAUCAGGAGGAACACCGGUGGCGAAGGCGGUUCUCUGGGCAUGACCUGACGCUGAGGAGCGAAAGCAUGGGGAGCGAACAG
This 408-nucleotide ribosomal RNA is filed under the name uncultured bacterium. Its description in RNAcentral is "bacterial SSU rRNA". It matches the Rfam family "Bacterial small subunit ribosomal RNA", at positions 355 to 775 of the family's 1533-position model. The record is from RNAcentral.